GGGUUCUGGACAGACGUACCCAGUCAGGGAAUGUUUACUUUGCCUCCACUUCUGUUCCUCCCCGCCCUGGUGCUGCUCCGGGUCACAUACUCGUCCUGAGCCGGCUUCAGCCUCUCCGCGCAGAAGUCUCCCGGAGCCGACUUCUGAGAGUCGAGUACUCCUAUGUGAAGACUACCAAGCUCGUGUUCAAGGGAACCAAGGCGAAGAGGCGAGAUGGAAAGAAAGUAUCAAGGAGUGAGCUGAAGCCACUGCCCUUGAGAACCCUCUCGAGGAGUCUGGGCUCAUGAGGAUGCCAGAAUAAGUGGCAGUAAGAAGAAAAAGAACAAAGAUAAGAAAAGAAAAAGAGAAGAAGAUGAAGAAACCCAGCUUGAUAUGUUGGAAUCUGGUGGACAGUAACAAACUUUGGUGAAAUUUCAGGAACCAUAGCCAUUGAAAUGGAUGAGGGAACCUAUAUACAUGCACUCGAUAAUGGUCUUUUUACCCUGGGAGCUCCACACAAAGAAGUUGAUGAGGGCCCUAGUCCUCCAGAGCAGUUUUCGGCUGUCAAAUUAUCUGAUUCCAGAAUCACCCUGAAAUCUGGCUAUGGAAAAUAUCUUGGUAUAAAUUCAGAUGAACUUGUUGUUGGGCGUUCAGAUGCAAUUGGACCAAGAGAACAAUGGGAACCAGUCUUUAAAAUUGGGAAAAUGGCUUUGUCGACCUCAAAUAGCUGCUUUAUUAGAUACAGUGAAGCAGAGGACAUAGAAGCAAAAAGUAAAACAGCAGGAGAAGAAGAAAUGAUCAAGAUUAGAUCCUGUGCUGAAAGAGAAACCAAGAAAAAAGAUGACAUUCCAGAAGAAGACAAAGGAAAUAUAAAACAAUGUGAAAUCAAUUACGUAAAGAAAUUUCAGAGCUUCCAAGACCACAAACUUAAAAUAAGUAAAGAAGAGAGUAAAAUUCUUAAAAAGGCUCAGAAAGAUGGAUUUUUGCAUGAAACGCUUCUGGACAGAGAACCAAAUUGAAAGCCGACAGAUACUGCAGAUGACUGGGAUUUUUGUUUCUGUCUUACCUUUUUGUGUUUUUUUUCUGAAUAAAAUAUUCAGAGGAAAUGCUUUUACAGAG
This 1098-nucleotide long non-coding RNA is filed under the name Homo sapiens (human). The record is from RNAcentral. Lineage: Eukaryota; Metazoa; Chordata; Mammalia; Primates; Hominidae.